GGACGGGGGGAGUCUGAUCAGUGACCUCAGCAUGGCCUUUGGGAAGGGACGAGGCCGGCCCACUAUCCCCCUAGCUUAAACAUGCCCAGCCUGGGACCGAUACCAACUUGAAAGUUACUCGAUGACCAUACAAUCCAUACAGGUAAGUGGGUAUUAUUACCUAGAUUCUGGGAAGACAUAAGGAAAUAUCUGUCUUGCACAUAGCAUUCGAGUUAAUGGGAUUCCUGUGAGCCCCAUUUUUAUAAGUUCCCUUACUGAAGCCUAUUUUCUGGACAUGAACUUGAAUCAGGUGCCCUGUGGCAUCGGUAGGCAGAAAUGAGUCACUCACCUUGUGAUGAUUCUAGCCACCUAUGUAACACUAUCAUUUCAAAGUGUUUUGUUGUUGUUUUUUCCAUGAAAACUGCCAAAGUUCUAUUGAAAAUUUGAAUUCAGUCAGUUUUUGUGGACUAUUUUUAUGAAACUUUUCAGAGAAAAAUGAAUAGCGAGUACUAGUUUAAAAUGUAAAUACACCCCUGCAGUAUAUCCGUGCCCUCUGCAUACUCAGCAGAAACAGAAUCUCUACUUAUGUAUUAUGUAUUAUGUAUGUAAUACUUAUGUAUUACAGUAGUUAAUUCCUGGCUUCAUCAGGAAAAGGAAACAAGGCAUGGAAAUAAUACUUAUCUGGGCCUGAUAUUAUAUAUAUCAUUCCUCUGUAGAGAAUGUACAUAAAUUAUGGCUUGUUUUGCAUCAUUUUUCAGAUUACCAGGCGUACUUCCUUGUAAGUAGUUUGACUUGUAACUUAAGUUUUCUCUUUGUAUUGCCUUUCCUACCAUUAUUUUUUUCCCGCUCAGAGUACAGUAUCUCUCAUAUUGUUUGUUGAACAUGUACCCCUCUACUCCCUUCCCUUAGUCUCCUUUGAUCUCUUCUCCCCCAUUUAUAGAGCCCUUGCUUCAUCCAUUAUCCUCGUCCAUCAUUUCAGCUACUCCCUCACUGCUGGCUUUUUCCCUUCAGCAUAUUAGAGUGUAUCCAUCUUAAAAGUAAUCAGAACAACUGUCCUUUCAUUGUUGCCCCAUCCAGCGAUUUCCCAAUACUUUCCCUUCCUUUUGCACACCAUCAUUUUGAAAAGACAGUCAGAGGUCAUUUCAAAUCCCACAUCUCUGCUAUUUUCAUAAUCCAUUUUCACUGACUUCCAUCCCUGCUAAAGUGAAACCAUGGUCUCUAAGGACCUGCAUACAUUCUGCUGCUAGCUCUCUGCAACUCUGUUGAUCCUUCCUUGGUUUGUAACACCAUUUUCUCUUAAAAUUCUAUGUUCCAAUUCCCUCUACUCCUCAAAUGGUGGUGUUUUGGGGAUUCUUGGUCUUAUUCUUUCCUUGUUCUCCAACUCCAGUUGGCUGAUCUUAUUCAUCCCCCUGACUCCAGAAUCAUUGUUAAAGUAUGACCUUCAUGUCUGUGUUUAGACUUGCAGUAACUUUACUGACCUGCCAUCUCAUAUAUUCAACCAUGUGUCUGCUAUGCUUAGUUGUUUCUCAUCAUCUCAGUGUAUGCAAAACUGAGCUCCACUCUUCCCACCAUAGAUGCUUUUCUUCCUGAAUUCCCUUUAAUGGAGAGAAGCACAAUCCAGACCAAACUCUGAUGCCUCCCUAAGUGCUUACCCCCUCAAAUCAAUGGAAUCCAAUCUAGUUUUACCUCCUGAGUGUCUCUUGAUUCUAAUUCCAUCUUUCUAUCCUAAUUCCAAGCCCUUAAACAUUUUCGUUUAGAAUCACCUUAUCACUUCUUAUCACUGAUUCCAAUCUCAUCUAUUUAAUCUAUUUAUAACAUUGCUCCAAUUUUUUUCCCUGAAACAUCUGUUAUUAUUUUAUUCCCCUGCUUGAAAUCCUUCAGUGCUUCCCCAAUACAGUCAAGAUAAAAUCCAAACUUCUUAGCACAAUGUAUGUAAGGCAUUUUAUGUUCUGGCCUGUGUUUCUCCCUAGCUGCAACUCUUACCUCACCCAUGUGCAUUUCACCUUUGCAUCAGGUCCCGGCGAGCACUCCACUCUCCGCCUUCCAUGCUGUCCUGUCUCCCUUUCCUACCUUCCUCCCGGCCAUUCCCUGCCCAGCUCUCAUACUUCAGUCCUGGUAUCACUCCUUCAGAGCCUCUGCUUUUCUUCUUCACCUACUCAUUUGGCAUUGCUGUGUUUCCUGUUUCUUUUAUAACCUGAUAAACUCUACUAUAAUGGUUUGUCUGGGUCUUUCCUAAAUUGUAAACUCCCUGACAGCAGGAAUUAUGUAUUUUCUUUGUAUCGCGCCAACUGGAAUGUACCUAUGGGAUAUAUUUAAUAAAAGUUUGUUGGAUAAAAAUGUCUGAUGGCUGAUUUACUUCAGAAAUAAUCACUGCUAUCUACAAUUGCAAUGCUUUUUUAAAAAAAUUAUAUAAACCCAACCUAAAAGCAAUUGAUAAAUCAAAACUUCAAAAUUACAAUUUUCUGCUCAUCCAAAGAUAUUGUUAAGAAAAUAAAAAGUCGUGGCUCAGUGGUUAAUGAAUCCGACUAGGAACCAUGAGGUUGCGGGUUCAAUCCCUGGCCUUGCUCAGUGGGUUAAGGAUCUGGCGUUGCUGUGAGCUGUGGUGUAGGUCCCAGACUUGGCUCGGGUCCCGAGUUGCUGUGGCUCUGGUGUAGGCUGGCAGCUACAGCUCCGACUGGACCCCUAGCCUGGGAACCUCCAUAUGCCACAGGAGCGACCCUAGAAAAGGCAAAAAGACAAAAGACAAAAAAAAAAAAAAAAAAAAAAAA
This 2747-nucleotide long non-coding RNA is filed under the name Sus scrofa (pig). Its description in RNAcentral is "lncRNA (ENSSSCG00035007302.1, ENSSSCG00065026242.1)". Lineage: Eukaryota; Metazoa; Chordata; Mammalia; Artiodactyla; Suidae. The record is from RNAcentral.